UGGUGGAGUGAUUUGUCUGGUUAAUUCCGAUAACGAACGAGACCUUAAUCUGCUAAAUAGUUCCGUUCACUUUGGUGGACGCUGAACUUCUUAGAGAGACUGCGUACGUUUAGUACGCGGAAGUUUGAGGCAAUAACA
This 138-nucleotide ribosomal RNA is filed under the name uncultured eukaryote. RNAcentral's name for it is "partial 18S ribosomal RNA". It matches the Rfam family "Eukaryotic small subunit ribosomal RNA", at positions 1299 to 1458 of the family's 1831-position model. The record is from RNAcentral.